AACGAACGCUGGCGGCAGGCUUAACACAUGCAAGUCGAGCGCCCCGCCAGGGGAGCGGCCGCCGGGUGAGUAACGCGUGGGAACGUACCUUUUGGUUCGGAACAACUCCGGGAAACUGGAGCUAAUACCGGAUAAGCCCUAACGGGGAAAGAUUUAUCGCCGAAAGAUCGGCCCGCGUCUGAUUAGCUAGUUGGUGAGGUAACGGCUCACCAAGGCGACGAUCAGUAGCUGGUCUGAGAGGAUGAUCAGCCACACUGGGACUGAGACACGGCCCAGACUCCUACGGGAGGCAGCAGUGGGGAAUAUAGGACAAUGGGCGCAAGCCUGAUCCAGCCAUGCCGCGUGAGUGAUGAAGGCCUUAGGGUUGUAAAGCUCUUUUGUCCGGGAAGAUAAUGACUGUACCGGAAGAAUAAGCCCCGGCUAACUUCGUG
RNAcentral lists this ribosomal RNA (431 nucleotides) under uncultured bacterium. RNAcentral's name for it is "partial 16S ribosomal RNA". It matches the Rfam family "Bacterial small subunit ribosomal RNA", at positions 29 to 507 of the family's 1533-position model. The record is from RNAcentral.